UUUCCCUACGGGGCGCAGCAGUGGGGAAUAUUGCGCAAUGGGCGAAAGCCUGACGCAGCGACGCCGCGUGGGUGAAGGAGUAUUUCGGUAUGUAAAGCCCUAUCAGCAGGGAAGAACAAUGACGGUACCUGACUAAGAAGCACCGGCUAAAUACGUGCCAGCAGCCGCGGUAAUACGUAUGGUGCAAGCGUUAUCCGGAUUUACUGGGUGUAAAGGGAGCGCAGGCGGCGCGUUAAGCCUGGUGUGAAAGCCCGCGGCCCAACCGCGGGACUGCAUUGGGAACUGGCGCGCUGGAGUGCCGGAGG
This 305-nucleotide ribosomal RNA is filed under the name uncultured bacterium. Its description in RNAcentral is "bacterial SSU rRNA". It matches the Rfam family "Bacterial small subunit ribosomal RNA", at positions 334 to 655 of the family's 1533-position model. The record is from RNAcentral.